Zophobas morio is the source of this 586-nucleotide long non-coding RNA. RefSeq lists it as uncharacterized. NCBI's taxonomy places the organism in Eukaryota, Metazoa, Arthropoda, Insecta, Coleoptera, Tenebrionidae. The transcript has 2 exons. The record is from RefSeq and is a predicted model, not a curated record.
ACGAAAGUUCAUCACGAGUUUAUCGUUGUUAACGGAACGAAAAUGAGAUAAAGAGUUUAUUUAUUAAUCCAAUCUGCUCUCUUGACUCGUCUAUAAAGUUCAUCACAAAACAACUAAUAUCAGUUUAAUUGCAAUUCUGAGGCCAUAAACCUAAAAUGCUUCGCUUGCGCCUUUUGUUUUCAGUACUGAUCAUCUUGCCAGCAGUAUAUCUAAACAAUUCUUCAACGGAGUGUAACUGUUGGAAUGGUUACGUUGUAACAAAUGCGACCAUCAUUGCCGCAAAUGGUGAGGAAUGUUUGGGAGCUACCUGGGUGACAUUUAACCGGAGACAUUUAUGUAAUGAGCCUCAAAAACCCGCAUGCACUUGCACGAAUGCUACUGGUAUUUUAAUUGAUAAUGAAGGAACAUGGUGUAGUCAUUAUCAGAAUGGUGUUCAAAUUAAAAAGUGGACAUGCCAGAAUCGUGAAGAAUGGGAUACCUAUAACGAAAAAUACAAGAAAUUCACCAGCAAGACACAGUAAUGAAGGCUUUUUUUUUAUAAAAAUGUAAUAAUUGUAAAAUAAAAUUUUGACAAUGAUUUUUUAAA